UACGGAGGGUGCAAGCGUUGUCCGGAUUCAUUGGGUUUAAAGGGUGCGCAGGCGGGACAUUAAGUCAGGGGUGAAAGACGGUUGCUCAACAAUCGCAGUGCCUUUGAUACUGGUGUUCUUGGGUAACCUUGAGGUAGGCGGAAUGGGUGGUGUAGCGGUGAAAUGCAUAGAUACCACCCAGAACUCCGAUUGCGAAGGCAGCCUACUGGAGGUCAACCGACGCUCAGGCACGAAAGCGUGGGGAUCAAACAGGAUUAGAUACCCUGGUAGUCCACGCCGUAAACGAUGAUCACUCGCUGUGGGAAGGCAACUUUCCGCGGCUUAGCGAAAGCGUUAAGUGAUCCACCUGGGGAGUACGCUCGCAAGGGUGAA
This 372-nucleotide ribosomal RNA is filed under the name uncultured bacterium. RNAcentral describes it as "bacterial SSU rRNA". It matches the Rfam family "Bacterial small subunit ribosomal RNA", at positions 524 to 898 of the family's 1533-position model. The record is from RNAcentral.